GACGAACGCUGGCGGCGUGCUUAACACAUGCAAGUCGAACGGAAAGGCCCCUUCGGGGGUCCUCUAGUGGCGCACAGGGGGGUAAAACGGGAGUAACCUGCCCUGGACUUGGGGAUAACUUCAGGAAACUGGGGCUAAUCCCGGCAAGGAAUCCUUGCGGCAUGGUGGGGGUUGGAAAGCUUCGGCGGUUUUGGAUGGACCCGCGGCUUAUCAGCUUGUUGGUGGGGUAGUGGCUUACCAAGGCUUUGACGGGUAGCCGGCCUGAGAGGGCGACCGGCCACAUUGGGACUGAGAUACGGUCCAGACUCCUACGGGAGGCAGCAGUGGGGAAUAUUGCACAAUGGGCGGAAGCCUGAUGCAGAAGCGCCGCGUGCGGGAUGACGGCCUUCGGGUUGUAAACCGCUUUCAGCAGGGGCGAAGCUUGUGGUGACGGUACCUGCAGAAGAAGCACCGGCUAACUACGUG
This 465-nucleotide ribosomal RNA is filed under the name uncultured bacterium. Its description in RNAcentral is "partial 16S ribosomal RNA". It matches the Rfam family "Bacterial small subunit ribosomal RNA", at positions 28 to 507 of the family's 1533-position model. The record is from RNAcentral.